AAUAUUGCGCAAUGGGGGGAACCCUGACGCAGCAACGCCGCGUGAGCGAGGUAGUCCUUCGGGUCGCAAAGCUCUGUCUACAGGUAUCAUAGUGACAGUACCUCUGGCGGAAGCCCCGGCUAACUAUGUGCCAGCAGCCGCGGUAAUACGUAGGGGGCAAGCGUUGUCCGGAUUUACUGGGAGUAAAGGGCGCGUAGGCGGUAGCAUAAGUCAGAUGUGAAAGUCCAGGGCUCAACCGUGGAAUUGCAUUUGAAACUGUACUACUUGAGUGCAGGAGAGGAGAGCGGAAUUCCUAGUGUAGCGGUGAAAUGCGUAGGGAUUAGGAAGAACACCAGUGGCGAAGGCGGCUCUCUGGACUGUAACUGACGCUGAGGCGCGAAAGCGUGGGUAGCGAAC
This 396-nucleotide ribosomal RNA is filed under the name uncultured bacterium. RNAcentral's name for it is "partial 16S ribosomal RNA". It matches the Rfam family "Bacterial small subunit ribosomal RNA", at positions 360 to 773 of the family's 1533-position model. The record is from RNAcentral.